Molecule: non-coding RNA, 3148 nt
Organism: Monodelphis domestica (gray short-tailed opossum)
Lineage: Eukaryota; Metazoa; Chordata; Mammalia; Didelphimorphia; Didelphidae
Source: RefSeq, a predicted model, not a curated record
UCAUUGAAAAAGCCCUAUGACAUUACCUCGUUUUGUUUUCAGUUAUUAUCCUCUGUUAGGAGGCACAUUGCAGCAUUCCUAGCUUAAGGACACUAGACAACGAGAGACAUGGAUAACCACAAGAGUAUCUCUAGUCAAGUUGGAAAGAGAGUACAUCGCUUUCUAAACCGCACUCAGUGAAUAGGAGAUUUAGGGCAUUGCCAUGACAAUUCUAAUUGUUGGAACUUCAUUCUUAUUACGGUUUUUUAUUCAGGUGGAUUCACCCUAAUGGUGCACACAGAAGAAUCACUUUAAUUGCUGGGCUAGAUGUGGAGAACAUGUAGCCAAGAAUCUUCUUCUUUUUGUUGAGGUAACAAAACCCACGGUCAAGGGGGUAUAAGUGGAAUUACAUUUUAUGGGUAGACAGAGAUUGGUAUGAAGGAAGACAUGUACUCUUUGACCUCUUGAGUCUCUCUCUAACAAAUGACACACAUAUUUUAAAUUAGAGGAGAUUCCAAUUACUGUGAAAUUAUGGGUCUAUACGAGCUCCCUCUAUGGGCUAAUUUGAUGUCUGCAAAUUCCUUUUUUUCUCUCUCUCCUUCCAUUUUUCCCCCCAACAAAGGCUCUGUGUAGCCUCUCGGAGAAGGUGGCUGCCUAAGGUUCCUGGGGUUGUGCUCUUUUGAGCGUGUACAAGAUGGCUGCCACAAGGCUGUUUGAAGCUGGCGCGUUUGAAGCUGCCGCGUGUGUUUGAAGCUGCCGCAUUUGAAGCUGCCGGGCUUGAAGCUGGCGCGUGUGUUUGAAGCUGCGGCAUUUGAUGUUGCUGAGGACGUUUGUAAAUUUGAGACAGACUUUAAUAUUGUUAGACGGUAGGGGAGUCCUUUUCAACCCCUUUUCAUUUUUUUUACUUGAACUUUUAAAAAACUUUUAUUUAACUUUUUUCCCCCAACUAUUUUAACUACUUAUGUCAGCCGAGGAAUGCUGUGAUUCACAGCCAUUAUUGUAAGGAGGCUGUUAUGUAUUUUUAGUGCUUCUGGGACCGUAGGAAUUCUUGAGUGACUUUGACUGUAUGCAACAAUGUGGAGAAUAAUCCCAACUGUGAAAAGUGCUACUGGGGUGGAAAAGUACAGAAUAAUUUUGACAAAGGGCAAUCUCCUUGUUGCUCGUAGAAGAAAGCCGAGUUGGAUUGUGGAAUUUAACUUAAUGGCUGUGAUGCACAAUUGAUACUUUGUCUGGAUUUUAGUGAUCUCUUCUUACAUUUGGCUUCCUAAAUCAACUUCAUAUCUUCAACAGUCAAAGUUGUGCAUUAAACUUCUUUGUAUCUUUGAUCAAUAGUGGUGCUGAAUUGUUUUUUGAGGGGGUUGGGGGUUGUUAAUUCAUUCUUAUUAGACAUGGAUAUCUUUUUACACAUUUGAUUUUAUUUAUAAUCUAAUCAAAAGGCUCAUAUAUAUUAAGUUUAUUUGGCAACAUCAUAAUCUUUUAAAAAAGAAACAGAAAUUAGGCAUAGUUGUGUUCAUAAAGUGUUUUGUGGAGACUCAAAGAAGUCUUAGAUUUCACUUUGUCCAACCCAGGUACAAAAAGAAUCCCCACAAUAGUAUACCAAAUAAUUGAUUGUUCAAGGUUGAAUGGGACUUGCUUCUUAAAAGAUAGAGUUCUGUUGUUCUUCCUUAAGUGUUUCUUUUUAUUAUUAUAAAAGAUCACAUACCCCUAUUUCCUUUCAUUGAUAAAAGGUAUACAAUUCAAGGAAGAAGACUUGGAUGAUCAAGUUAUUGUUUUAGUUCAAUGACAUUCUGCAAAGAACUGAGAGCUUAAUGUUUCACCAAGGAAAUUGAAUUCCUUCCAUUUGAAUUGUCUCAGGAAGAUUCUGAAGGUCAUCUGGCAAGAUAAGGUACCAGACACUGAGGUCCUUUCUUAAGCUGAAGCACCAAAGCCUUCCAACUCCACUGGAGAGAGCUCAACUCCAAUGGCUGGCCACGUUAUUGGAAUGCCAAACCCACAGUUGCCUGAAAGACUAUUUCACCAGGUAGGGAAAUUGAGGCCCAGGAAGGUGGAAUGACUGACUUACCAAGAAUUGCACUGAGAGCAGACAGGAGAGGUAGAAUUUGAACCUAGAUCCUCUAAUACCAGACCAAGUACCUUUCCAUUGUACCAAGUUAUUAACUGAAUGACAGCAAGAAAACAAGAGGAAAUGAUAAGAUUUGGGAAGAAAUCAUGGUUUUAUUUCAUUCCUAGGCUGAAUUUGCACCAUUUUGUUUUAUUCUGUAAAAAUGUCUGCCUUUGACCUCUUCUGAAAUGCACAUAUGAUCCUAUUUACACAUGGAAAUCCUCUGGCUUACACCCAGGCAAGCAGGCAUGACAAAGAGUAAUAAUAUUUUUAUAUUAACAUGUUAUGAAAGCUUAAUUUCAUAUUGGUAGUACUGUUGUUGCUUUUUGCUUUCAAAAUAUAUUAGCUAAGAUAUUAUUAUCUUGAUUAUCAUUAUACUUGAAUGUGGAUUACUCUUUAAUUAUAGUCUUUAACCAAACUAUCAAGGGCACUUCUUGACCAAUCAGUUUGCUUGCCCUUGAUACCAAUGAUCCUUCCAUUUGCCUGGAAAAGAAGGUGGUGAAAACAACAGCAUCUGCUACCUUCACUUUAUAAAUAAAAUAUUGUGAGUAAUUGUUUUAAUAAUGUGGAGGAAUUUACAUAUCUUUUAUUUUAGAAAUUUCAAGGAAGUCCCUUCAUUUCAGUAGUACAAGUAGCAAAAUCAAUUCUGUGUUGCUUCAUGAUCUGAGAUUUGCUCAUUCUGGCUCAAUCCUGAAGUUUUCUUUUGUAAAUGUGCCAGUUAUAUGCUUUUUGCAUAAUGGCCAAGCUUUUCAUAACAAUAAUAGCCCACACGUGUAUAGUACAUUCCAUUUUGCAACAGGCAUUUCUUGCCACGACUUUAUGGAAAAAGUAGCAGUAUCCCACUUCACAUAUAAGGAAACUGAGCCUGACAGAAGUAAGGUGACUGGUCCAUCAUCACACAGAUGCUGUGGUAUGAAAACCGAUAUUCCAAUCUAGCAUUUUUUACUCUAAGACUGAUGCUUUUGCAACUAUAUCAUGUGAUCUUUGUGCACAGUAGUACUCAUAUACUUUAUCCUCUUUCUUUUUUAUUCAUGUAAAUAAAAUAUUGACCAAUGGUGAAAACUUGAA